UGGGGAAUUUUGGACAAUGGGCGAAAGCCUGAUCCAGCAAUGCCGCGUGUGUGAAGAAGGCCUUCGGGUUGUAAAGCACUUUUGUCCGGAAAGAAAUCCUUGGCUCUAAUACAGUCGGGGGAUGACGGUACCGGAAGAAUAAGCACCGGCUAACUACGUGCCAGCAGCCGCGGUAAUACGUAGGGUGCAAGCGUUAAUCGGAAUUACUGGGCGUAAAGCGUGCGCAGGCGGUUUGCUAAGACCGAUGUGAAAUCCCCGGGCUCAACCUGGGAACUGCAUUGGUGACUGGCAGGCUAGAGUAUGGCAGAGGGGGGUAGAAUUCCACGUGUAGCAGUGAAAUGCGUAGAGAUGUGGAGGAAUACCGAUGGCGAAGGCAGCCCCCUGGGCCAAUACUGACGCUCAUGCACGAAAAGCGUGGGGAGCAAAACAGGAUUAGAUACCCUGGUAGUCCCACGCCCUAAAACGAUGUCAACUAGUUGUUGGGGAUUCAUUUCCUUAGUAACGUAGCUAACGCGUGAAGUUGACCGCCUGGGGAGUACGGUCGCAAGAUUAAAACUCAAAGGAAUUGACGGGGUCAUA
This 579-nucleotide ribosomal RNA is filed under the name uncultured bacterium. RNAcentral describes it as "partial 16S ribosomal RNA". It matches the Rfam family "Bacterial small subunit ribosomal RNA", at positions 355 to 923 of the family's 1533-position model. The record is from RNAcentral.